RNAcentral lists this ribosomal RNA (477 nucleotides) under uncultured bacterium. Its description in RNAcentral is "partial 16S ribosomal RNA". It matches the Rfam family "Bacterial small subunit ribosomal RNA", at positions 28 to 507 of the family's 1533-position model. The record is from RNAcentral.
GAUUAACGCUGGCGGCGUGCAUAACACAUGCAAGUCGAACGAUGAAACUUAAAUGAUUUCUUCGGAAUGAACUUAAGUGGAUUAGUGGCGGACGGGUGAGUAACGCGUGAGUAACCUGCCUUACACAAGGGGAUAGCCGUUGGAAACGACGAAUAAUACCCUAUGAAACUAUCACUUCGCAUGAAGCGAUAGUCAAAGUGUUAGCGGUGUAAGAUGGACUUGCGUCUGAUUAGCUAGUUGGUGAGAAAAAAGCCCACCAAGGCAACGAUCAGUAGCCGGCUUGAGAGAGUGUACGGCCACAUUGGGACUGAGGCACGGCCCAGACUCCGACGGGAGGCAGCAGUGGGGAAUUUUGCACAAUGGGGGAAACCCUGAUGCAGCGACGCCGCGUGAUUUAGAAGGCCUUCGGGUUGUAAAAAUCUUUUGUAUAGGAAGAAAAUGACAGUACUAUACGAAUAAGGUCCGGCUAAUUACGUG